GGACCUUUAGCUCAGCUGGUUAGAGCAAUCGGCUCAUAACCGAUCGGUCCCGGGUUCGAGUCCCUGAAGGUCCAC
RNAcentral lists this transfer RNA (75 nucleotides) under Mediterraneibacter gnavus. Its description in RNAcentral is "[Ruminococcus] gnavus tRNA-Met". It matches the Rfam family "tRNA". Rfam says of the family: Transfer RNA (tRNA) molecules are approximately 80 nucleotides in length. The record is from RNAcentral. Lineage: Bacteria; Bacillati; Bacillota; Clostridia; Lachnospirales; Lachnospiraceae. RNAcentral also lists the same sequence under 8 other names.